GGCGACCGGCGCACGGGUGCGUAACGCGUAUGCAACUUGCCUGUCAGUGGGGGAUAACCCGGAGAAAUUCGGACUAAUACCGCAUACACUUAGUUUGUUGCAUGACAGAUUAAGGAAAGAUUUAUUGCUGACAGAUAGGCAUGCGUUCCAUUAGUUAGUUGGUGAGGUAACGGCUCACCAAGACAGCGAUGGAUAGGGGGACUGAGAGGUUGACCCCCCACACUGGUACUGAGAUACGGACCAGACUCCUACGGGAGGCAGCAGUGAGGAAUAUUGGUCAAUGGGCGAAAGCCUGAACCAGCCAAGUCGCGUGAAGGAAGACGGUUCUAUGGAUUGUAAACUUCUUUUGUACAGGAUUAAAAGCUUCUACGUGUAGGGGAAUUGCAGUUACUGUACGAAUAAGCAUCGGCUAACUCCGUGCCAGCAGCCGCGGUAAUACGGAGGAUGCGAGCGUUAUCCGGAUUUAUUGUUUUUAAAGGGUGCGUACGUGGCAGAGAAAGUCAGGGGUGAAAAGCUGCAGCUCAACUGUAGUCUUGCCUUUGAAACUUCUCAGCUAGAGUGUAGAAGAGGUAUGUGGAAUGUGUGGUGUAGCGGUGAAAUGCAUAGAUACCACACAGAACUCCGAUUGCGAAGGCAGCAUACUGGGCUAUAACUGA
Molecule: ribosomal RNA, 656 nt
Filed under: uncultured Porphyromonas sp.
Lineage: Bacteria; Pseudomonadati; Bacteroidota; Bacteroidia; Bacteroidales; Porphyromonadaceae
Description: bacterial SSU rRNA
Rfam family: Bacterial small subunit ribosomal RNA
Source: RNAcentral